This is a long non-coding RNA of Syzygium oleosum, 1568 nucleotides long. RefSeq lists it as uncharacterized. The record is from RefSeq and is a predicted model, not a curated record. The transcript has 3 exons. NCBI's taxonomy places the organism in Eukaryota, Viridiplantae, Streptophyta, Magnoliopsida, Myrtales, Myrtaceae.
UUCUGACGCUAGAGGAGGCCAUUUUCACAGGGGGAGAGAGAGAGAGAGAGAGAGAGAGAGAGCAGAGAAUCGGGGAGAAAAGCAUCGCGCUCUCUUUCAAGAAAACGAGGAAAUUGGGAUUCUUCUUGGCACCGGUAGCCUCUCACGUCUCUCUAGCUCCACAGCCAGCCGCCAGCUCCGCUGGUAGCCACCGCCGCUGGUCUUCCAUCUCCGAUCAUGGAAGACGCACGAAGCUCGAACUUGAAAUCCCCUGGAUUUCUUCCCCGCCCGAGUUACAUUUCCGUCGAUUCGAGUGUUCAGACGUCUCCGCCUGCUCGCGGCGGCCUGACCUUUGCUCGAACUAAAUCAACCUCCGAUUGCCGUGGAAAACAACAUCAGAGAGUCGCGCAAGUAGGCCGGGUGGAUUCAUCGGUGCAAAUGCUUCUUCGAGACGGGAGACAGAAGCUCGAGGACUAGGAUUAAGGGUUCUGUCAUCUGUAGGCGAAGAGGCUCGCGUCCUUAAGUUCGACAAUUAACUCCGGCUCCAUUUCAAUCUCUGUGACAUACACUGCAUGUUAAACAUGGAGAGAGGAGAAAAGAGAAAUCUUCAUAGACGGCCAGUUUCUUAGGACGUUCAGGCAACGACGGAAUUCGUCAUUCUAUAGUCGCUCUUAUCAGGUCGUCUCUUUCCCGAUUAAACUCAUGUAUUAGAUUUCGAAUUCAUUUUCAAAUUCACCUCUUCACCUAUGCUCUGCUUUGUUGUCUUCUCAUUGCCGCAAACGAGACUCGCUAUUCGUCGGUCCGAAAGGUUGUCGGUGCUAAUUGUUUUGAGGGUAGCGGUUUGAGUUCAAUUUGGCGGUGUCGAAGUAUGGGAGGUGCCAUGCGUUAGACGAUGCACAGAAGGCGUUCGGUGAAAUUAUCCAAGAGAAACAGCAGUAAUGUCGCCUCGCAGAAUUCGAUUAUGCUCAGCCAAUAACCGUAGGAAUGCGCUUAUCUCAGUUAGAGGGGUUCCGAUUCCAACCGGGAUUGAACCCCGGACCUAGUACUCUCCGACCACACCCCUAAUCCCUUUAUCAACAAGGUCGCAUGCCUAUUGGCGCCGAAGGGAAUCUCUGCGACAGGUACCAGACAGGCAAAGGGGCGAGCAAUCCAAUGAGGAAGACCAGUUCAUCUAGGAAUAGAACCCGAAUUUUCCAAACAUCCUGAGGGGGCUGACGACUCUCUAUAUGAUUGAGGCGCUGUAGAAAACAUUGUCACCGGGGCAUGUUCAUGGGCUUCCAUCUGGUAGCAGGGCUGGGUCACAUAUGCAGUUAGAUGCUGGUGACUAGCCAUCACGCUGUGGCGAAAUAGUUGGCUCAAAUCAAGGAUUGUCCCAACCAAUUGUGCAAUCGGGAAGUUCACAAUGUUAUGAGUAGGCCCAAAGUGAGAAACGAUAGGAGUUUGAAAGGCCUCAAUUCUCCGGGAUGUGUAAUUUACCUGAACGAGGAAUUAAAUAUUGUUCGAUUUGCUUCUCUGUUAUGGAAAAACAUCAUCGAUGUGGUUGGUCGAUUGUUUGCCAUCCCCUUCAUAAUAGUGCUUCGGAAUCACAA